UGGGGAAUAUUGCACAAUGGGCGCAAGCCUGAUGCAGCAACGCCGCGUGAACGAUGAAGGUCUUCGGAUCGUAAAGUUCUGUUGCAGGGGAAGAUAAUGACGGUACCCUGUGAGGAAGCCCCGGCUAACUACGUGCCAGCAGCCGCGGUAAUACGUAGGGGGCUAGCGUUAUCCGGAUUUACUGGGCGUAAAGGGUGCGUAGGUGGUUUAGAAAGUCUGAUGUGAAAGCCCACGGCUCAACCGUGGAGGGUCAUUGGAAACUAAUAAACUUGAGUGCAGGAGAGAAAAGUGGAAUUCCUAGUGUAGCGGUGAAAUGCGUAGAGAUUAGGAGGAACACCGGUGGCGAAAGCGGCUUUUUGGCCUGCAACUGACACUGAGGCGCGAAAGCGUGGGGAGCAAACAGG
This 404-nucleotide ribosomal RNA is filed under the name Verrucomicrobiota bacterium. RNAcentral describes it as "Verrucomicrobia bacterium partial 16S ribosomal RNA". It matches the Rfam family "Bacterial small subunit ribosomal RNA", at positions 355 to 776 of the family's 1533-position model. The record is from RNAcentral. Lineage: Bacteria; Pseudomonadati; Verrucomicrobiota.